Molecule: ribosomal RNA, 468 nt
Filed under: uncultured bacterium
Lineage: Bacteria
Description: partial 16S ribosomal RNA
Rfam family: Bacterial small subunit ribosomal RNA
Source: RNAcentral
GACGAACGCUGGCGGCGUGCUUAACACAUGCAAGUCGAACGGAAAGGCCCUGCUUUUGUGGGGUGCUCGAGUGGCGAACGGGUGAGUAACACGUGAGUAACCUGCCCUUGACUUUGGGAUAACUUCAGGAAACUGGGGCUAAUAUCGGAUAGGAGCUCCUGCUGCAUGGUGGGGGUUGGAACGUUUCGGCGGUUGGGGAUGGACUCGCGGCUUAUCAGCUUGUUGGUGGGGUAGUGGCUUACCAAGGCUUUGACGGGUAGCCGGCCUGAGAGGGUGACCGGGCACAUUGGGACUGAGAUACGGCCCAGACUCCUACGGGAGGCAGCAGUGGGGAGUAUUGCACAAUGGGCGGAAGCCUGAUGCAGCAGCGCCGCGUGCGGGAUGACGGCCUGCGGGUUGUAAACCGCUUUCGCCUGUGACGAAGCGUGAGUGACGGUAAUGAGUAAAGAAGCACCGGCUAACUACGUG